Molecule: long non-coding RNA, 1467 nt
Filed under: Marmota monax (woodchuck)
Lineage: Eukaryota; Metazoa; Chordata; Mammalia; Rodentia; Sciuridae
Source: RNAcentral
AACAUUAUUUUAACUGGAAAAAAAAAAGGUUGCAAAGAAGGCCUGGGUGGGUAAGCAUUUCUGCUCUGAUUUGCUUUUGCCAGAUCGGUUUAGUCACUCAUUCUUAGUUAUGGACUUCAAGAGAGCCCUACCUUUGGCCCUUGUUUCCAGUGAGGAACUUGGAUUUUGAGUGGCUUUCUCAGUGCAGGUGGCAUUUUCAUGGUGGGCUUCAAGGGACUCAGAUUUAGGUGGUUGAAACCCGUGUAGUGAGGGAAACGUCAGUGACCUUCAUUUGACCUUCAGUGCACUGAAACAUCCUAUGGUUUGGUUAAGAUGGAGGUAGAGGCAGCGGUAAGCGGGUGCCAUGGGCACUGGGGCUUCCAUGUUCUACAAAGGCCCCAGAGGGCAUCUCCAGAGGUCACUUUGUUUUAUCUCUUUGUGGACAAGAAAUUUCACCCAAGUUCGUGGAUGCUCAGUGCCUUGUCCUCAAACAAAAGUGUUAUUUCCUCGGCCACCUCAAUUCCCCAUAUUGUCCUCCUUUCUGGAAUACCUUCUCCACUUGGGGCAUUCUAAAGAUAAGAAUAGAUGGAGGAAAGGUCGUGUGCCAACUUUUCUAAAACACCAAAGUCCUUGUGCUUUUUUUUGAAGGUGUCCCAAAGAAUCAUGGGGUGAUCCUUUCACUUCUUUUCUCACUAUUCCUAUCUUCGUCCUCUUAUUUUAACUUUCCUCAUUUUUCUUCUCUCUCCUCCUGUUUCUGUACCAUCAAGAAUGGGCAGGAGUGGGGAGCUGGAGUGUGCUACACCAGAGGCUGAGGAGGGAGGUUGGUGAGUUUGAGGCCAGCCUGGGCGACAUAGUGAGACCCUUUUUCAAAAAAAAAAAAAAAACAAAAUAAGAAAGGGGGCAGAUGUGUGGCUAGGCUACACAUAAAUAGUUUGUAUGUCUCUUUUCUCUUCCUUUUUCUUCCCACAUUUUCAUUCUUUUGGUCAAGUAGAAUCUGUAAUGCUCUGAAACUCUUGUCUGGUGACUUGGGUACAAGAACCAUCACAGAGAUUUGCCCCUUGCCCUGUAAGGAGUUUUUUGGGAGGAAGGUAAAUGGUAAAAAGUCAUUGGUUAAUAAAGAAGAAUGACUUUAUCGAAUUUGCUGGCAAAUGGAUGGGUCUUGAGACUAUUAUGCUAAGUAAAAUAAGCCAAUCUCCCCAAACCAAAGGUCGAAUGUUUUCUGAUAUGUGGAAGCUAAUCCACAAUAAGAGGCAGGAGAUACAAGUUCGGUGGCUUAGACAAAGGGGAAUGAGGGAAGGGAAGCAGGAGAGGAAAAGGAAAGCCAGUGGAAUGACUCUGUCAUGACUUUCCUGUGUACCUAUAUGAAUACACCACAGUGAAUCUCACCGUCACAUAUAUCCAAAAGACUGGGGUCCUAAUUGGAAUAACAUAUAUUCCAUGCUAUGUAUUUAUAUCAAAAUGGACUCUACUGUCAUGUGGAACUAAAAA